RNAcentral lists this ribosomal RNA (469 nucleotides) under uncultured bacterium. Its description in RNAcentral is "bacterial SSU rRNA". It matches the Rfam family "Bacterial small subunit ribosomal RNA", at positions 329 to 798 of the family's 1533-position model. The record is from RNAcentral.
UUCCAGACUCCUACGGGAGGCAGCAGUGAGGAAUAUUGGUCAAUGGCCGGAAGGCUGAACCAGCCAAGUCGCGUGAGGGACGACUGCCCUAUGGGUUGUAAACCUCUUUUAUAAGGGAAGGAUAAAUGCUACGUGUAGCAUGAUGCCUGUACCUUAUGAAUAAGCAUCGGCUAACUACGUGCCAGCAGCCGCGGUAAUACGUAGGUGGCAAGCGUUGUCCGGAUUUAUUGGGUGUAAAGGGCGUGCAGCCGGAGAGACAAGUCAGAUGUGAAAUCCACGGGCUCAACCCGUGAACUGCAUUUGAAACUGUUUCCCUUGAGUGUCGGAGAGGUAAUCGGAAUUCCUUGUGUAGCGGUGAAAUGCGUAGAUAUAAGGAAGAACACCAGUGGCGAAGGCGGAUUACUGGACGAUAACUGACGGUGAGGCGCGAAAGCGUGGGGAGCAAACAGGAUUAGAUACCCCAGUACAC